This 659-nucleotide ribosomal RNA is filed under the name uncultured Tomentella. RNAcentral's name for it is "eukaryotic LSU rRNA". It matches the Rfam family "Eukaryotic large subunit ribosomal RNA", at positions 1 to 639 of the family's 3401-position model. The record is from RNAcentral. Lineage: Eukaryota; Fungi; Basidiomycota; Agaricomycetes; Thelephorales; Thelephoraceae.
UUUGAUCUCAAAUCAGGUAGGACUACCCGCUGAACUUAAGCAUAUCAAUAAGCGGAGGAAAAGAACUAACAAGGAUUCCCCCUAGUAACUGCGAGUGAAGCGGGAAGAGCUCAAAUUUAAAAUCUGGCGUGCCUCUGGCCGUCCGAGUUGUAGUCUGGAGAAGCGUUUUCCGUGUUGGACCGUGUAUAAGUCUCUUGGAACAGGGCGUCAUAGAGGGUGAGAAUCCCGUCUUUGACACGGACUACCAAUGCUUUGUGAUGCGCUCUCAAAGAGUCGAGUUGUUUGGGAAUGCAGCUCAAAAUGGGUGGUAAAUUCCAUCUAAAGCUAAAUAUAGGCGAGAGACCGAUAGCGAACAAGUACCGUGAGGGAAAGAUGAAAAGCACUUUGGAAAGAGAGUUAAACAGUACGUGAAAUUGCUGAAAGGGAAACGCUUGAAGUCAGUCACGUCUGCCAGGACUCAGCCUUGCUUUUGCUUGGUGUACUUUCUGGUCGGAUGGGCCAACAUCAAUUUUGACCGCUGGAGAAAGGCUUUGGGAAUGUGGCACCUUUGGGUGUGUUAUAGCCCUUGGUUGUAUACAACGGUUGGGAUUGAGGACCGCAGCACGCCUUUACGGCCGGGGUUCGCCCACGUACGUGCUUAGGAUGUUGGCAAAAUGGCU